This 323-nucleotide unclassified non-coding RNA is filed under the name Pseudomonas sp. URMO17WK12:I11. RNAcentral describes it as "cspA". It matches the Rfam family "cspA thermoregulator", at positions 94 to 428 of the family's 428-position model. Lineage: Bacteria; Pseudomonadati; Pseudomonadota; Gammaproteobacteria; Pseudomonadales; Pseudomonadaceae. The record is from RNAcentral.
UGUGCCCAGUUGGCCUGAGCAGCACAGCACUACUGAAAAUAUAUGUUUCUUGGAGAUACACCAUGUCUAAUCGCCAAACCGGCACCGUUAAAUGGUUCAACGAUGAAAAAGGCUUCGGCUUCAUCACUCCUCAAGGUGGCGGUGACGACCUGUUCGUACACUUCAAAGCUAUCGAAAGCGACGGUUUCAAAAGCCUGAAAGAAGGCCAAACCGUUUCCUUCGUGGCUGAGAAAGGCCAAAAGGGUAUGCAAGCUGCACAAGUUCGCCCAGAGUAAGUUUCUGGCGCACUAAAAAAACCCCGUCCAUGUGACGGGGUUUUUUAU